Molecule: ribosomal RNA, 465 nt
Filed under: Vreelandella stevensii
Lineage: Bacteria; Pseudomonadati; Pseudomonadota; Gammaproteobacteria; Oceanospirillales; Halomonadaceae
Description: partial 16S ribosomal RNA
Rfam family: Bacterial small subunit ribosomal RNA
Source: RNAcentral
CCUACGGGGGGCUGCAGUGGGGAAUAUUGGACAAUGGGGGCAACCCUGAUCCAGCCAUGCCGCGUGUGUGAAGAAGGCCCUCGGGUUGUAAAGCACUUUCAGUGAGGAAGAACGCCUGGUGGUUAAUACCCAUCAGGAAAGACAUCACUCACAGAAGAAGCACCGGCUAACUCCGUGCCAGCAGCCGCGGUAAUACGGAGGGUGCGAGCGUUAAUCGGAAUUACUGGGCGUAAAGCGCGCGUAGGUGGCUUGAUAAGCCGGUUGUGAAAGCCCCGGGCUCAACCUGGGAACGGCAUCCGGAACUGUCAGGCUAGAGUGCAGGAGAGGAAGGUAGAAUUCCCGGUGUAGCGGUGAAAUGCGUAGAGAUCGGGAGGAAUACCAGUGGCGAAGGCGGCCUUCUGGACUGACACUGACACUGAGGUGCGAAAGCGUGGGUAGCAAACAGGAUUAGAUACCCCAGUAGUC